AUGAUUGCUGUGUGUAUAAUAUGUCAUUGAACCCCAAUCCUCGAUGCCGACCUGAUUAUGACUUUUGGAUCGCAAUUAUCAUGGCUAUCAAAAACUGAGUAGGAGUCAUGGAAUAAGUGAACAAUUUGUGGCCUUUAUAGCUGUCAGCUUUCGCAUCGCCCGGUGUGUUUUGGGAAUCGCUUUGUGCAUUUGGUUGCCUGCCGUGCCUCUUGGCAUACGGUUGGUGCCACUUGCCGGGUGGUUUUCGGAAACAUCCACCGUAAAGGUGCAUGAGUGGUGUUUGGUUUGUUACGGGUGGUUGGCUCUUUGCUUGCGCAACAACUGCCACCCGACUUACCUCUUCAGUUUUUGCCUAGGCUUGUAUAGCCUAAGCAGAUUGUGGGUUUCCUGUGUUGCCUACCUACGUCACGGAAUUGUCCCGAUCGAUCAAAGUUGCUUUCGUCUUGUGUCGUCUUGAUGGCAUAAGAUGAACCAUGAAGCUGUCUCUUUGCACCGCAUCGUUAAUGCAUGCAUUGAUGUUGUGGCCCAUUGAGCAUUGCUUGGUACCUCGGAUACGGAACCUUAUGUGGGCAUCGGUCCUUAGGGAUCCUUGUUCUGCCCUCGUUUAGCGUUCGCGCUUCUCUUAGAAUGACUGCCCAGCCGGAAUGGGAAGCCAUUCUGGAUGGGCAUCGUCAAAGAG
Molecule: long non-coding RNA, 679 nt
Filed under: Helianthus annuus (common sunflower)
Lineage: Eukaryota; Viridiplantae; Streptophyta; Magnoliopsida; Asterales; Asteraceae
Description: hypothetical non coding rna
Source: RNAcentral